Molecule: ribosomal RNA, 319 nt
Filed under: Proteus mirabilis
Lineage: Bacteria; Pseudomonadati; Pseudomonadota; Gammaproteobacteria; Enterobacterales; Morganellaceae
Description: partial 23S ribosomal RNA
Rfam family: Bacterial large subunit ribosomal RNA
Source: RNAcentral
UUAAGCGAAUAAGCGUACACGGUGGAUGCCUAGGCAAUCAGAGGCGAUGAAGGACGUGCUAAUCUGCGAAAAGCGUCGGUAAGGUGAUAUGAACCGUUAUACCCGACGAUAUCCGAAUGGGGAAACCCAGUAUCCAAUGGAUACUAUCAUUAACUGAAUCCAUAGGUUAAUGAGGCGAACCGGGAGAACUGAAACAUCUCAGUACCCCGAGGAAAAGAAAUCAACCGAGAUUCCCCUAGUAGCGGCGAGCGAACGGGGAGCAGCCCAGAGUCUUAAUCAAUAGCAGUGUCAGGAGAACGGUCUGGAAAGUCCGGCAGUA